This 496-nucleotide ribosomal RNA is filed under the name uncultured bacterium. RNAcentral describes it as "partial 16S ribosomal RNA". It matches the Rfam family "Bacterial small subunit ribosomal RNA", at positions 28 to 507 of the family's 1533-position model. The record is from RNAcentral.
GAUGAACGCUGGCUACAGGCUUAACACAUGCAAGUCGAGGGGAAACGACGGGGAAGCUUGCUUCCCCGGGCGUCGACCGGCGCACGGGUGAGUAACGCGUAACCAACCUGCCUCUGACUGAGGGAUAACCCGUCGCAAGUCGGCCUAAUACCUCAUGGCAUCGUCUGCGGGCAUCCAACGACGAUUCAAGCUUUCAUCGGUCAGUGAUGGGGAUGCGUCUGAUUAGCCUGUUGGCAAGGUAACGGCCCACCAAGGCAACGAUCAGUAGGGGAACUGAGAGGGUGAUCGGACAGACUGGAACUGAGACACGGUCCAGACGCCUACGGGAGGCAGCAGUAGGGAAUCUUCCGCAAUGGGCGCAAGCCUGACGGAGCAACGCCGCGUGAGUGAAGAAGGUCUUCGGAUCGUAAAGCUCUGUUAUUAGGGAAGAACAAAUGUGUAAGUAACUAUGCACGUCUUGACGGUACCUAAUCAGAAAGCCACGGCUAACUACGUG